AUUGAACGCUGGCGACAGGCUUAACACAUGCAAGUCGAGCGGUAACAGGAGAAGCUUGCUUCUCGCUGACGAGCGGCGGACGGGUGAGUAAUACUUAGGAAUCUACCUAGUAGUGGGGGAUAGCUCGGGGAAACUCGAAUUAAUACCGCAUACGACCUACGGGAGAAAGGGGGCAACUUGUUGCUCUCGCUAUUAGAUGAGACUAAGUCGGAUUAGCUAGAUGGUGGGGUAAAGGCGUACCAUGGCGACGAUCUGUAGCUGGUCGGAGAGGAUGAUCAGCCACCCCGGAGUGGGGACACGGCCCGGACGCCUACGGGAGGCAGCAGUGGGGAAUAUUUGACAAUGGGGGCAACCCUGAUUCAGCCAUGCCGCGUGUGUGAAGAAGGCCUUUUGGUUGUAAAGCACUUUAAGCAGUGAGGAAGACUCUAGGGUUAAUACCCUUAGACGAUGACAUUAGCUGCAGAAUAAGCACCGGCUAACUCUGUGCCAGCCGCCGCCGUAA
This 502-nucleotide ribosomal RNA is filed under the name uncultured bacterium. RNAcentral describes it as "partial 16S ribosomal RNA". It matches the Rfam family "Bacterial small subunit ribosomal RNA", at positions 30 to 523 of the family's 1533-position model. The record is from RNAcentral.